GCGGGAAUAGCUCAGUUUGUAGAGCACGACCUUGCCAAGGUCGGGGUCGCGAGUUCGAGUCUCGUUUCCCGCUCCA
This 76-nucleotide transfer RNA is filed under the name Escherichia coli. Its description in RNAcentral is "tRNA-Gly". It matches the Rfam family "tRNA". Rfam says of the family: Transfer RNA (tRNA) molecules are approximately 80 nucleotides in length. Their secondary structure includes four short double-helical elements and three loops (D, anti-codon, and T loops). Further hydrogen bonds mediate the characteristic L-shaped molecular structure. tRNAs have two regions of fundamental functional importance: the anti-codon, which is responsible for specific mRNA codon recognition, and the 3' end, to which the tRNAs corresponding amino acid is attached (by aminoacyl-tRNA synthetases). tRNAs cope with the degeneracy of the genetic code in two manners: having more than one tRNA (with a specific anti-codon) for a particular amino acid; and 'wobble' base-pairing, i.e. permitting non-standard base-pairing at the 3rd anti-codon position. The record is from RNAcentral. Lineage: Bacteria; Pseudomonadati; Pseudomonadota; Gammaproteobacteria; Enterobacterales; Enterobacteriaceae. RNAcentral also lists the same sequence under 5 other names.